Molecule: non-coding RNA, 82 nt
Organism: Acanthosepion pharaonis
Lineage: Eukaryota; Metazoa; Mollusca; Cephalopoda; Sepiida; Sepiidae
Source: the annotation of a GenBank genome assembly
UCAUGAAAACACCGAAGUUAAGCAACGUCGAGCCUAGUUAGUAGUUAGAUGGGUGUCCGCUUUGGAAUACCAUGUGCUGUAA